Molecule: non-coding RNA, 21 nt
Filed under: Caenorhabditis elegans
Lineage: Eukaryota; Metazoa; Nematoda; Chromadorea; Rhabditida; Rhabditidae
Source: RNAcentral
UUGCGCGGAGCUGAAAAUAGU